GUAUAAAUAAUUUUACUUUGAAACUGCGAAUGGCUCAUUAUAUCAGUUAUAGUUUAUUAGAAAUAYUUUACUACUUGGAUAACCGUAGUAAUUCUAGGGCUAAUACAUGAVUAAAWCCUCAACUUCGGAAGAGGUGUGUUUAUUAGUAUGAAAACCAUAUAUCUUCGGAUAUAAUAGUGAGUAAUAAUAACCUUUCRUAUCGUAUGUCGUAAGAUAACGAUAGUUCUUUCAAGUUUCUGCCCUAUCAGCUUUCGAUGGUAGUAUAUGGGACUACCAUGGCAGUAACGGGUAACGAAGAAUUUGGGUUCGAUUUCGGAGAGGGAGCCUGAGAGAUGGCUACCACAUCCAAGGAAGGCAGCAGGCGCGUAAAUUACCCAAUCCUGACAUAGGGAGGUAGUGACAAUAAAUCACAAUGCGGAACUUUUAGUUUUGCAAUUGGAUUGAGAACAAUGUACAAAUGUUAUCGAUAAACAAUUGGAGGGCAAGUCUGGUGCCAGCAGCC
RNAcentral lists this ribosomal RNA (502 nucleotides) under Blastocystis sp. RNAcentral's name for it is "SSU rRNA". The record is from RNAcentral. Lineage: Eukaryota; Bigyra; Opalinata; Blastocystidae.